GUAGGUGAACCUGCGGAAGGAUCAUUAACACUUUUUCCUUCACUGAUCUUGAGAUCGCUUCAUGCUAUGAAAGUAGUAUGAAACGGUUUUUAAGGUUGGAUUAACCCCCAAAUAUUGAUGAACCAUAGUUUUUUGGCAGCGUUUGUUUUCACAACAAAUACUGCUAAAAUUUUCUUUACAUCUAAAAACAAAAAAACUCCAUUGAAACAUUCGACUGAAAUUCUUUUUUUUCUCCUUCUCUCUUUUUUUCUUCACCGAAAAAAACCGACAGGGGAAAGAAAAACCACAAAAAACAAAAAAUUCGUUUUUUUGAAACAACUCUUAGCAACGGAUAUCUUGGCUCUC
This 345-nucleotide unclassified non-coding RNA is filed under the name rhizosphere metagenome. RNAcentral's name for it is "partial ribosomal RNA internal transcribed spacer region". The record is from RNAcentral.